Molecule: ribosomal RNA, 417 nt
Filed under: Pleurobrachia bachei
Lineage: Eukaryota; Metazoa; Ctenophora; Tentaculata; Cydippida; Pleurobrachiidae
Description: 16S ribosomal RNA
Source: RNAcentral
CCCUUAAUAUUUAUAGUUAAUAUUUUUAUAGCAAACUUUUAUUUUUCAAACUUUUUAUUGUUUUUGUCCAUAUUAUCUAAUGUGUCUUGGUUAUUUUUAUUUCUGAUUUACAUAGUUUUAAAGAAUAUACAUGGGUUUUUUAUUUUAUUCAAAAUUAAAUAAAAGGUUUUCUCUUUAUUUAGUUUUACUUAAAAUAAGUAAAAGGCUUUUUCUUUUACAUAUUUAAUAAAAAUUUGUACGAAAGAAAUUAAUCAUUAUUAUUUUAAAUUAUUUUUUAUGCAGUGUUAACCCUAUGCAAUAGGUAUUAUAUACCAAAAGAAUUUAAAUUACCUGCCUAAAUAAUCUAGUGUCAGGGUUAAAGAUAUAAUAGUCCUAUGCGAUUUUUAUAAAAUAAGUAGUAUUAUGGUUUAUAGCGUU